CUACGGGUUGCUGCAGUGGGGAAUAUUGGACAAUGGGGGAAACCCUGAUCCAGCAAUGCCGCGUGUGUGAAGAAGGCCUGCGGGUUGUAAAGCACUUUCGGUUGGGAGGACUGCUUCUAGCACUAAUAUUGUUGGAAGUUGACGUUACCUUCAGAAGAAGCACCGGCUAACUCCGUGCCAGCAGCCGCGGUAAUACGGAGGGUGCAAGGCGUAAUCGGAAUUACUGGGCGUAAAGCGCGCGUAGGCGGCUAGAUCAGUCGGGUGUGAAAGCCCCGGGCUUAACCUGGGAACUGCAUCCGAUACUGUCUAGCUUGAGUACAGGAGAGGAGAGUGGAAUUCCACAUGUAGCGGUGAAAUGCGUAGAUAUGUGGAGGAACACCAAUGGCGAAGGCAGCUCUCUGGCCUGAUACUGACGCUGAGGUGCGAAAGCGUGGGGAGCAAACAGGAUUAGAUACCCCGGUAGUC
RNAcentral lists this ribosomal RNA (465 nucleotides) under uncultured bacterium. Its description in RNAcentral is "partial 16S ribosomal RNA". It matches the Rfam family "Bacterial small subunit ribosomal RNA", at positions 339 to 795 of the family's 1533-position model. The record is from RNAcentral.